Molecule: ribosomal RNA, 305 nt
Filed under: uncultured bacterium
Lineage: Bacteria
Description: bacterial SSU rRNA
Rfam family: Bacterial small subunit ribosomal RNA
Source: RNAcentral
GGCCUACGGGGCGCAGCAGUCGAGAAUCAUUCACAAUGGGGGAAACCCUGAUGCAGCGACGCCGCGUGAGUGAAGAAGUAUUUCGGUAUGUAAAGCUCUAUCAGCAGGGAAGAAGAAAGACGGUACCUGACUAAGAAGCCCCGGCUAACUACGUGCCAGCAGCCGCGGUAAUACGUAGGGGGCAAGCGUUAUCCGGAUUUACUGGGUGUAAAGGGAGCGUAGACGGAGAAGCGAGUCUGAAGUGAAAGCCCGUGGCUUAACCACGGGACUGCUUUGGAAACUGUUUGACUAGAGUGCUGGAGAGG